RNAcentral lists this ribosomal RNA (465 nucleotides) under uncultured bacterium. Its description in RNAcentral is "partial 16S ribosomal RNA". It matches the Rfam family "Bacterial small subunit ribosomal RNA", at positions 338 to 795 of the family's 1533-position model. The record is from RNAcentral.
CCUACGGGAGGCAGCAGUAGGGAAUCUUCCACAAUGGGCGAAAGCCUGAUGGAGCAACGCCGCGUGGGUGAAGAAGGUCUUCGGAUCGUAAAACCCUGUUGUUAGAGAAGAAAGUGCGUGAGAGUAACUGUUCACGUUUCGACGGUAUCUAACCAGAAAGCCACGGCUAACUACGUGCCAGCAGCCGCGGUAAUACGUAGGUGGCAAGCGUUAUCCGGAUUUAUUGGGCGUAAAGGGAACGCAGGCGGUCUUUUAAGUCUGAUGUGAAAGCCUUCGGCUUAACCGGAGUAGUGCAUUGGAAACUGGGAGACGUGAGUGCAGAAGAGGAGAGGGGAACGCCAUGUGUAGCGGUGAAAUGCGUAGAUAUAUGGAAGAACACCAGUGGCGAAAGCGGCUCUCUGGUCUGUAACUGACGCUGAGGUUCGAAAGCGUGGGUAGCAAACAGGAUUAGAUACCCUGGUAGUC